RNAcentral lists this ribosomal RNA (253 nucleotides) under uncultured bacterium. RNAcentral describes it as "partial 16S ribosomal RNA". It matches the Rfam family "Bacterial small subunit ribosomal RNA", at positions 524 to 776 of the family's 1533-position model. The record is from RNAcentral.
UACGGAGGGUGCGAGCGUUGUCCGGAAUCACUGGGCGUAAAGGGCGCGUAGGUGGCGCGGGCAGUCAACGGUGAAAGUUCGGGGCUCAACCCUGAAUCGGCCGUCGAUACUCCCGUGCUUGAGCACUGUAGAGGCAGAUGGAAUUCCGGGUGUAGCGGUAGAAUGCGUAGAGAUCCGGAAGAACACCGGUGGCGAAGGCGGUCUGCUGGGCAGUAGCUGACACUGAGGCGCGACAGCGUGGGGAGCAAACAGG